GACGAACGCUGGCGGCGUGCCUAAUACAUGCAAGUAGAACGCUGAAGGAGGAGCUUGCUCUUCCGGAUGAGUUGCGAACGGGUGAGUAACGCGUAGGUAACCUGCCUGGUAGCGGGGGAUAACGAUUGGAAACGAUAGCUAAUACCGCAUAAGAGUAGAUGUUGCAUGACAUUUACUUAAAAGGUGCAAUUGCAUCACUACCAGAUGGACCUGCGUUGUAUUAGCUAGUUGGUGGGGUAACGGCUUACCAAGGCGACGAUACAUAGCCGACCUGAGAGGGUGAACGGCCACAAUGGGAAUGAGACACAGCCCAGACUCCUACGGGAGGCAGCAGUAGGGGAUCUUCGGAAAUGGGCGGAAGGCUGACCGAGGAACGCCGCGGGGGAGAAGGAGGGUCUCGGGUCGUAAAGCUCCGUUGUAAGAGAAGAACGAGUGUGAGGGUAGAAAGUUCACAUUGUGACGGUACCUUAACAGAAAGGGACGGCUAACUACGUG
This 495-nucleotide ribosomal RNA is filed under the name uncultured bacterium. RNAcentral describes it as "partial 16S ribosomal RNA". It matches the Rfam family "Bacterial small subunit ribosomal RNA", at positions 28 to 507 of the family's 1533-position model. The record is from RNAcentral.